UACGUGGGGCACAAGCGUUAUCCGGAUUUACUGGGCGUAAAGAGAUGCGUAGGCGUUUUGAAAAGUUCUAUGUUAAAGCCUAAGGCUCAACCUUAGAAUCGCGUAGAAAACUUUCAGAAUUGAGUUGGGUAGAGAAGAGGGGAAUUUCUGGUGGAGCAGUUAAAUGCGUUGAUAUCAGAAGGAAUACCGAAGGCGAAGGCACCUCUUUGGACCUUAACUGACGCUAAGGCUCGAAAGCGUGGGGAGCAAAACGG
This 254-nucleotide ribosomal RNA is filed under the name uncultured bacterium. RNAcentral's name for it is "partial 16S ribosomal RNA". It matches the Rfam family "Bacterial small subunit ribosomal RNA", at positions 524 to 776 of the family's 1533-position model. The record is from RNAcentral.